UACCAUCCAAAACCCUACACGCCCUCCCACCCUUCUUUCCCUUUCCUCCUCUUCUUCUUUUUCUUCUUUCCUUCUCUGCCUUUCAGUUUUCCAAAAAUAACUUCACAUUCAAAUUCAAAAUUCAAAUUCAACUUAUUCUCAAAAUCCUAUCUCUCUCUUACACUGCACACUUUCCUCUUUCCUUUCUAUUGCUUCAAAUUCAGCCAAACUCCUAUCCCAAUCAUCUUCUGUAUGGCGAACCUAUACGAUCGAUCAGGUAAACAACCGUUCGAUCAUUUGUGUUCUUCCUUCAACAACGACUGGAAACCUUUCGACGAACACUGGCGACGGUGCCGGAAUACUCUCCUGUCUCUCACAUGACUUCUACAAGCAGCUUAUAUUGAACUUAUUGGUUUGAUUGUGGAGUGGUGGGGAUUAUGGUCUCUGGGUAAUCGGAUGGAUUAAAGCUUAAGUUAAUUGUCAUUUAGGAGUUGUUAGCCUCACGACAACAGUAUUUCUUUUCAAAGUGUUGGUUGAUGGAUGGCUAGGCUUUUGAGCAGUUGUGCGGCGGCAGUAUGGAGUUGGUAUAAGGGCUCACUAGGUUGAACAGAGGUUGUGAUUCAACACUGCCAGCUGCCACACAAAAUUUCUUAGUUGGUGCUCAUAGAUAAGAUCGACAAGAGUAGGUUUGUGUUUUACGUGCAUUUUGUUUGAGCUUAACUUUAUUGCUAUUGGUUUGAAAUUAUAAUUGUAAUUAAUGAAUGAGUGCUGCUAAAUUGAUUACGUUUUAAGUGUAAACAAAUGGUUUAGCUGGCACUUAUAAUUUUUUAUAUCAGUUGUUAAUGUAUGUUAUGUCGUUUUCCCUCAAAGCCUUGCCUUGAAGAGCUUACAUCUAGAUGAUGGCAUCGAAGCUACAUCUCUCUAGGAUCACCCUACUUCCUCCAAAACCAGUGAGCUAUAUUUGUUAAUCACUUUUUGUAUUCAAUUUUAGUGAUCAUAAGUAAAUGAAAUUAGUUUCGCUAGCUUUUAUUCGUUGAUGAACUUUUCAGGCGUUUUAGGC
RNAcentral lists this long non-coding RNA (1039 nucleotides) under Helianthus annuus (common sunflower). Lineage: Eukaryota; Viridiplantae; Streptophyta; Magnoliopsida; Asterales; Asteraceae. The record is from RNAcentral.